Molecule: ribosomal RNA, 772 nt
Filed under: uncultured organism
Description: bacterial SSU rRNA
Rfam family: Bacterial small subunit ribosomal RNA
Source: RNAcentral
ACUAGAUUACUAGAGUCUAAGAGAGGCCACUGGAAUCUCUGUUGUAGGGGUUAAAAUCCGUAGAUAACAGAGGGAACACCAAAAGCGAAGGCAGGUGGCUGGCUUAGUACUGACGCUCAGAGACGAAAGCGUGGGUAGCGAACGGGAUUAGAUACCCCGGUAGUCCACGCCGUAAACGAUGAGUGCUAGGUAUUGGAGGGAUUCGACCCCCUUCAGUGCCCACAGCUAACGCGUUAAGCACUCCGCCUGGGGAGUACGGUCGCAAGACUAAAACUCAAAGGAAUAGACGGGGACCCGCACAAGCGGUGGAUCAUGUGGUUUAAUUCGAUGAUAAGCGAGAAACCUCACCUAGACUUGACAUCUCGAGAAAGUUCUAGAAAUAGAACCGUGCCUUUUGGAACUCGAUGACAGGUGCUGCAUGGUUGUCGUCAGCUCGUGCCCUGAGGUGUUCGGUUAAGUCCGUAAACGAGCGCAACCCUUGUCAUAUGUUGUAUUUCUCAUAUGAAACUGCCGGCUCCAAGCCGGAGGAAGGUAGGGAUGACGUCAAAUCAGCAUGGCCCUUAUGUCUAGGGCUACACACGUGAUACAAUGGGUCGUACAAUGGGUAGCCAAGGAGCAAUCCGGAGCCAAUCCCUAAAACGAUCCUCAGUUCGGAUUGAGGUCUGCAACUCGACCUCAUGAAGUUGGAAUCGCUAGUAACCGUGGAUCAUUACGCCACGGUGAAUAUGUUCCCGGGUCUUGUACUCACCGCCCGUCACAUCAUGGAAGAUGG